UACGAAGGUCCCAAGCGUUAUCCGGAUUUAUUGGGUUUAAAGGGUGCGUAGGCGGGUUAUUAAGUCAGUGGUGAAAGCCUACAGCUUAACUGUAGAACUGCCAUUGAUACUGAUGAUCUUGAGUAUGAUUGAGGUUGGCGGAAUGUGUCAUGUAGCGGUGAAAUGCUUAGAUAUGACACAGAACACCGAUUGCGAAGGCAGCUAACUAAGGCAUAACUGACGCUGAUGCACGAAAGCGUGGGGAGCAAACAGG
This 253-nucleotide ribosomal RNA is filed under the name uncultured bacterium. Its description in RNAcentral is "partial 16S ribosomal RNA". It matches the Rfam family "Bacterial small subunit ribosomal RNA", at positions 524 to 776 of the family's 1533-position model. The record is from RNAcentral.